GCACAAGCGGUGGAGCAUGUGGUUUAAUUCGACGCAACGCGAAGAACCUUACCUGGGCUCGAAAUGUACGGGACAGCGGUAGAAAUAUCGUCUCCUAGCAAUAGGUCCGUAUAUAGGUGCUGCAUGGCUGUCGUCAGCUCGUGUCGUGAGAUGUUGGGUUAAGUCCCGCAACGAGCGCAACCCUUAUCUCCAGUUGCUACCAUUUAGUUGAGCACUCUGGCGAAACCGCCUCGGAUAACGGGGAGGAAGGUGGGGAUGACGUCAAGUCCUCAUGGCCUUUAUGUCCAGGGCUACACACGUGCUACAAUGGCCGGUACAAACCGUCGCAAACCCGCGAGGGGGAGCUAAUCGGAAAAAGCCGGCCUCAGUUCGGAUUGCAGUCUGCAACUCGACUGCAUGAAGCUGGAAUCGCUAGUAAUCGCGGAUCAGAACGCCGCGGUGAAUACGUUCCCGGGC
Molecule: ribosomal RNA, 456 nt
Filed under: uncultured bacterium
Lineage: Bacteria
Description: bacterial SSU rRNA
Rfam family: Bacterial small subunit ribosomal RNA
Source: RNAcentral